This 894-nucleotide long non-coding RNA is filed under the name Junco hyemalis (dark-eyed junco). RNAcentral describes it as "lncRNA (ENSJHYG00000002956.1)". Lineage: Eukaryota; Metazoa; Chordata; Aves; Passeriformes; Passerellidae. The record is from RNAcentral.
GCUUUGAGAAUAAGGAACUAAUUGGCUGCGAACAGUUUCAGUCUAAUGACCUCUUACCAGAAGCUCAACAGUGCAUUAAGGUUUAUACCCGGGGUUGGUUAGAUUAGUUUCAAUUUCAGGUAGUGGGUAUCUAUCCAAUUACUCUCCUCCUCCUCGCUAGGAGUAGAGCACAUGGCAUUCCUUCUGCUACUGGAUGUGCUAAGCAGCAUGCGAGUUGGCAACUUGGGCUGAAAAGCAAAUUAGCAUUAUGCAAACUGCAGGAUUCUGGCACUCACAUUAGGAUCACUGAUCUGGCAAGAAAUCCUGCCAAGCUACCAAGCUUUCCUGAGCCCAGGGAGAGCUGCAAACCCUAAUCCAAGAGACCAGCUGACAAUAACAAAACAAAAAGAGAUUGCGGGGGAGGGGGAACAAAUCUUAAUUGUCUGGGAGGAUACUGGUGGGAGCUUGGAGGUGGAUUUCCUACAGAGACCUGACUCCUGUAUUGCAGUGAAGAAAUACAGAUAGAAAGGAGAGUACAAGCAAGCUGAUCCUCUACUGUGUUUCCUCUACCACACACUGGUUUCUCUAUUUACAUCACAACCUCUUUGUGCAGUGUAAUUGUCUAGCACAAUGGGGCCCUCAGUGGGAACCUCAAGGUAUUUCCAUCAUAAGAAUAACAAACAACAGCAAGGAAGAAGAACAAAAGGAGAAACACUGCGAUUACAAGAAUAGGUCCAACCUUCAUCAGACUGAAGAGUUUCAGGAUUUGGGACAUUUCAAAACUGGAGACAGAAGCAAAUGAGAGGAUCCAACACUGGCUUUUAUCUUGAGCUGUGAUGUGUACCUCCAAAGAAUCGUGGCAUGCCCUGUAUGCAUUGCUUCUAUUGUUAGAACAUAUCAAAGUGAGAGUACAGU